CCCGGCGACCGGCGCGCGGGUGAGUAACACGUAUGGAACCUGCCCGCAGCAGGGGGAUAAGCGGAAGAAAUUCCGUCUAAUACCGCGUAACACCGCAGAGGGGCAUCCCUCGGCGGUUAAAGAUUCAUCGGCUGCGGAUGGCCAUGCGGCGCAUUAGCUAGUCGGCGGGGUAACGGCCCACCGAGGCGACGAUGCGUAGGGGUUCUGAGAGGAAGGUCCCCCACACUGGUACUGAGACACGGACCAGACUCCUACGGAAGGCAGCAG
Molecule: ribosomal RNA, 267 nt
Filed under: uncultured bacterium
Lineage: Bacteria
Description: partial 16S ribosomal RNA
Rfam family: Bacterial small subunit ribosomal RNA
Source: RNAcentral